This 519-nucleotide ribosomal RNA is filed under the name uncultured eukaryote. Its description in RNAcentral is "SSU rRNA". It matches the Rfam family "Eukaryotic small subunit ribosomal RNA", at positions 1161 to 1695 of the family's 1831-position model. The record is from RNAcentral.
AGGGCACCACCAGGAGUGGAGCCUGCGGCUUAAUUUGACUCAACACGGGAAACCUCACCCGGCCCGGACACGGACAGGAUUGACAGAUCGAUAGCUCUUUCUCGAUUCCGUGGGUGGUGGUGCAUGGCCGUUCUUAGUUGGUGGAGCGAUUUGUCUGGUUAAUUCCGAUAACGAACGAGACUCUGGCAUGCUAACUAGUUACGCGACCCCCCGAGCGGUCGGCGUCCCCCAACUUCUUAGAGGGACAAGUGGCGUUCAGCCACCCGAGAUUGAGCAAUAACAGGUCUGUGAUGCCCUUAGAUGUCCGGGGCUGCACGCGCGCUACACUGACUGGCUCAGCGUGUGCCUACCCUACGCCGGCAGGCGCGGGUAACCCGUUGAACCCCAUUCGUGAUGGGGAUCGGGGAUUGCAAUUAUUCCCCAUGAACGAGGAAUUCCCAGUAAGUGCGGGUCAUAAGCUUGCGUUAAUUAAGUCCCUGCCCUUUGUACACACCGCCCGUCGCUACUACCGAUUGGAUG